This 251-nucleotide ribosomal RNA is filed under the name uncultured bacterium. RNAcentral's name for it is "partial 16S ribosomal RNA". It matches the Rfam family "Bacterial small subunit ribosomal RNA", at positions 525 to 775 of the family's 1533-position model. The record is from RNAcentral.
ACGUAGGGAGCAAGCGUUAUCCGGAUUUAUUGGGUGUAAGGGGUGCGUAGACGGGAAAACAAGUUAGUUGUGAAAUCCCUCGGCUUAACUGAGGAACUGCAACUAAAACUAUUUUUCUUGAGUGCUGGAGAGGAAAGUGGAAUUCCUAGUGUAGCGGUGAAAUGCGUAGAUAUUAGGAGGAACACCAGUGGCGAAGGCGACUUUCUGGACAGUAACUGACGUUGAGGCACGAAAGUGUGGGGAGCAAACAG